AGAUGUGUAGCUCAAUCAAUAGAGUGCUUGCUUCGCAUGCAAGAAGCCCUGGGUUCAAACCCCACCACUGCAU
RNAcentral lists this transfer RNA (73 nucleotides) under Rattus norvegicus (Norway rat). It matches the Rfam family "tRNA". Rfam says of the family: Transfer RNA (tRNA) molecules are approximately 80 nucleotides in length. Their secondary structure includes four short double-helical elements and three loops (D, anti-codon, and T loops). Lineage: Eukaryota; Metazoa; Chordata; Mammalia; Rodentia; Muridae. The record is from Rfam by way of RNAcentral.